RNAcentral lists this non-coding RNA (31 nucleotides) under Rattus norvegicus (Norway rat). Lineage: Eukaryota; Metazoa; Chordata; Mammalia; Rodentia; Muridae. The record is from RNAcentral.
UUCUAUGUCUCAUGGAACCCAGAUCUCUAAA